RNAcentral lists this ribosomal RNA (460 nucleotides) under uncultured bacterium. RNAcentral describes it as "partial 16S ribosomal RNA". It matches the Rfam family "Bacterial small subunit ribosomal RNA", at positions 338 to 795 of the family's 1533-position model. The record is from RNAcentral.
CCUACGGGGGGCAGCAGUGAGGAAUAUUGGUCAAUGGGCGGAAGCCUGAACCAGCCAAGUCGCGUGAGGGAAUAAGGCCCUACGGGUCGUAAACCUCUUUUGCCGGGGAGCAAGGUCGGGGACGUGUCCCGUCCCGGAGAGUACCCGGAGAAAAAGCAUCGGCUAACUCCGUGCCAGCAGCCGCGGUAAUACGGAGGAUGGGAGCGUUAGCCGGAUUUAUUGGGUUAACAGGGUGCGUAGGCGGGCUGUUAAGUCAGCGGUAAAAAUUCGGGGCUCAACCCCGUCCGGCCGUGGAUACUGGGGGCCUUGAGUGGGCGAGAAGUAGGCGGAAUGCGUGGUGUAGCGGUGAAAUGCAUAGAUAUCACGCAGAACCCCGAUUGCGAAGGCAGCCUUCCGGCGCCCUACUGACGCUGAGGCACGAAAGUGCGGGGAUCGAACAGGAUUAGAUACCCGUGUAGUC